This 1405-nucleotide ribosomal RNA is filed under the name termite gut metagenome. RNAcentral describes it as "bacterial SSU rRNA". It matches the Rfam family "Bacterial small subunit ribosomal RNA". The record is from RNAcentral.
AGAGUUUGAUCCUGGCUCAGGAUGAACGCUAGCUACAGGCUUAACACAUGCAAGUCGAACGGAGUAGCAAUACUCAGUGGCAAACGGGUGAGUAACACGUAUCCAACCUGCCUUCUACUCGGGUAUAGCCUUUCGAAAGGAAGAUUAAUCCCCGAUGUUAUAUGUGAUUCACAUGUAUUGCAUAUCAAAGAAUUUCGGUAGAAGAUGGGGAUGCGUUCCAUUAGAUAGUCGGCGGGGUAACGGCCCACCGAGUCUAUGAUGGAUAGGGGUUCUGAGAGGAAGGUCCCCCACAUUGGAACUGCGACACGGUCCAAACUCCUACGGGAGGCAGCAGUGAGGAAUAUUGGUCAAUGGCCGUAAGGCUGAACCAGCCAAGUAGCGUGAAGGAUGACGGCCCUAUGGGUUGUAAACUUCUUUUAUAUGGGAAUAACGUUACCCACGUGUGGGUAUGUGCAUGUACCAUGUGAAUAAGGAUCGGCUAACUCCGUGCCAGCAGCCGCGGUAAUACGGAGGAUCCGAGCGUUAUCCGGAUUUAUUGGGUUUAAAGGGAGCGUAGGCGGGAUCUCAAGUCAGCUGUGAAAUGUAGAUGCUCAACAUCUGCACUGCAGUUGAAACUGGUAUUCUUGAGUGCGUAAGAGGUAGGCGGAAUUCGUCGUGUAGCGGUGAAAUGCAUAGAUAUGACGAAGAACUCCGAUUGCGAAGGCAGCUUACUGGGCCGCAACUGACGCUGAAGCUCGAAGGUGCGGGUAUCAAACAGGAUUAGAUACCCUGGUAGUCCGCACAGUAAACGAUGGAUACUCGCUGUCGGCGAUACAUAGUCGGUAGCCAAGCGAAAGCAUUAAGUAUCCCACCUGGGGAGUACGCCGGCAACGGUGAAACUCAAAGGAAUUGACGGGGGCCCGCACAAGCGGAGGAACAUGUGGUUUAAUUCGAUGAUACGCGAGGCAUGGUUGUCGUCAGCUCGUGCCGUAAGGUGUCGGCUUAAGUGCCAUAACGAGCGCAACCCUUGCCGUUAGUUGCCAUCAGGUCAUGCUGGGCACUCUAGUGGGACUGCCAUCGUAAGAUGUGAGGAAGGUGGGGAUGACGUCAAAUCAGCACGGCCCUUAUGUCCGGGGCGACACACGUGUUACAAUGGUAGGUACAGCGGGAAGCUACCUGGUGACAGGAUGCAGAUCCCGAAAUCCUAUCUCAGUUCGGAUUGGAGUCUGAAACCCGACUCCAUGAAGCUGGAUUCGCUAGUAAUCGCGCAUCAGCCAUGGCGCGGUGAAUACGUUCCCGGGCCUUGUACACACCGCCCGUCAAGCCAUGAGGCGCCUGAAGCCCGUAACCGCGAGGAUCGGUCUAGGGCGAAUCUGGUAAUUGGGGCUAAGUCGUAACAAGGUAGCCGUACCGGAAGGUGCGGCUG